UGGGGAAUAUUGCGCAAUGGGCGAAAGCCUGACCCAGCGACGCCGCGUGGGGGAAGAAGUCUUUCGGGACGUAAACCCAUGUUGUACGGGACGAAAAAAGGGGAUUCUUCCUCACUUGACGGUACCAUAGGAAUAAGCACCGGCUAACUCCGUGCCAGCAGCCGCGGUAAUACGGAGGGUGCAAGCGUUAUCCGGAUUUACUGGGUUUAAAGGGUGCGUAGGUGGGCAGGUAAGUCAGUGGUGAAAUCUCCGGGCUUAACCCGGAAACUGCCAUUGAUACUAUCGGUCUUGAAUAUCCUGGAGGUGAGCGGAAGAUGUCAUGUAGCGGUGAAAUGCUUAGAUAUGACAUAGAACACCGAUUGCGAAGGCAGCUCACUACGGGAUCAUUGACGCUGAGGCACGAAAGCGUGGGGAUCAAACA
This 421-nucleotide ribosomal RNA is filed under the name uncultured bacterium. RNAcentral describes it as "bacterial SSU rRNA". It matches the Rfam family "Bacterial small subunit ribosomal RNA", at positions 355 to 774 of the family's 1533-position model. The record is from RNAcentral.